This 69-nucleotide long non-coding RNA is filed under the name Ornithorhynchus anatinus (platypus). RNAcentral describes it as "lncRNA (ENSOANG00000038272.1)". The record is from RNAcentral. Lineage: Eukaryota; Metazoa; Chordata; Mammalia; Monotremata; Ornithorhynchidae.
UAAGUGAAACAAGGAACACAGGAGAGAGGACAUACUCCUUCCCCUCAGUUCUGGGAUCACAGUGGCAAA